CCCUCUUGUAGAUGUAAAGCGGCUCGCAGACUUGAAGUUCACACACAUCAAGUCGUGUAGCGAGUGUGAGCUACAGGGACCCAGUGAGCACAGAGGAAACGAAGCAGAAAUUCAGGAUUUUCACUGAAUAAAAUACCCAGAGAAGCAGCAAAGGCUGAGGAAGUCACGUAUGCAGAAGUCAAGGUUUAUCAUCAGAGGCCCAACUGAGAAACAGUAUUUAGUGUUUGAAUGUUGUAYAGAACAGAUUUGCUGCAACAGUACUGGUUUUAUGAAAAA
This is a long non-coding RNA of Poecilia reticulata (guppy), 276 nucleotides long. RefSeq lists it as uncharacterized. Lineage: Eukaryota; Metazoa; Chordata; Actinopteri; Cyprinodontiformes; Poeciliidae. The record is from RefSeq and is a predicted model, not a curated record.